GCGCCCGUAGCUCAAUUGGAUAGAGCAUCAGACUACGGAUCUGAGGGUUGGAGGUUCGAGUCCUUCCGGGCGCGCCA
RNAcentral lists this transfer RNA (77 nucleotides) under Alphaproteobacteria bacterium. RNAcentral's name for it is "tRNA-Arg". It matches the Rfam family "tRNA". From Rfam's summary of the family: Transfer RNA (tRNA) molecules are approximately 80 nucleotides in length. Their secondary structure includes four short double-helical elements and three loops (D, anti-codon, and T loops). Further hydrogen bonds mediate the characteristic L-shaped molecular structure. tRNAs have two regions of fundamental functional importance: the anti-codon, which is responsible for specific mRNA codon recognition, and the 3' end, to which the tRNAs corresponding amino acid is attached (by aminoacyl-tRNA synthetases). tRNAs cope with the degeneracy of the genetic code in two manners: having more than one tRNA (with a specific anti-codon) for a particular amino acid; and 'wobble' base-pairing, i.e. permitting non-standard base-pairing at the 3rd anti-codon position. Lineage: Bacteria; Pseudomonadati; Pseudomonadota; Alphaproteobacteria. The record is from RNAcentral. RNAcentral also lists the same sequence under 2 other names.